UAAAACACAAAUUUACACCAUCCAUAUCAGUGCAUAAAACUCAUAGUAUUGGUAUCAGUAUCCAUCAUGACAAGAAAUCUAAAUACAAGACUCACACUAUCCAUAUCAGUAGUCAUUAUGCAGAAAAAUUUAGACACAAAACUCACACUAUCAGCAGGCAAAUGUCUAACAGAUACAAGAGGAAAAAUCCGGAAAUAAAAGAGAGCUUCGUCAUCCUUCACCAAUCAAAUUCCUAAACAAAAGUAUAUAUCCUCCAUUAACAAAACAUUUCACGGGAUCGAAUCUACAACAACAAGACAUACAAACACCGUCGCGGAAUCGAAUAAAAGACAUACACAAAGUAGUAUAAUACAAAAAAUAAAUCAUGUUGUUACCACGAUGUCGAAGGUUGUUGUCCUGAAUAGUCGGUUGAAGAAAUUUGACAUUGAGAUUUAUGCAAUAAAGCCGACAUGUAAUGCAACCAUAUUGAAAACCGAAACAAAUAUUAGAGCUAUAAGCAUGAUUUAACAGCCAGAACAGAACCAGAAUAUGAUACAAGUUCCUGUUUAUAACAGUAUUUUCAACAUUAUAAUAUCGAAUACCAAAACGGUAUAACCCAAUCAGAAAGGAAGUAAAUAUGCAAUUGAAACAGAAAUAUAAUCGAAACAUUUACACGUCGAAGUUGCGAAUGAUAUUCAAUUUUAAACGCGAUAACUUAAGCACACAACAACAACACGAUCACAUCAAAAAUACCCCGGAAAAGAACAUUACGACAUUCUAAUACCAACAAUCAACAUAGAUUAAUGCAACCAAAUCUAAAUCAAAACAGUGGCUAUAACCAACAACGUAAUAUCAAGGAAAACGCAACACAAACUUUUACUGUAACGCUAAACCACUUUAAUUCCGCAGCAAGAAAAUGAUAGCAUUAAACAUGUAACAAAUUCAUUGCAAUCAAUACCAAACUGCUUCAAUACAACUCAAUAUGAAGUUUAAUAUGUCUAUGAAAUCAACAUGAUGCGAUUAGCGGAACGUAAAGAGAAUAACAUUAAAAAAUAUUGGAUAUAACAAUAAACAAAAGCCUUGCCCAUAAGAGCCACUUCUCCAAACAGAAAACCAACUGGACAUGACAAAUGCAAGUAGCAAUUCAAAUUAUCGUAAUAACAAAAGCCUUCUAAAGUUGGUUACAACAACACCUUGGUAAGACAAUUUACAAACUAGAACACAAUAGGAAACCAGUAGAAAACAAUGAGGCCAUAGUCAUAUUCAAAAAACACUACCUAAUGGAAUCAAUCUCAGAACAUCCACACUCUAUAAUACUUGCAACAGUUUGUGACACAACAGAAAUCAAUAAAAAUUUAAUGUAAUAACAGAGUUAAUCUCAAAAUUACAACACCACAAGCAUACGAAAUUGAUAUUUUUACCGAAGCGGUGUCACUGCUGUUGUUUGUUGUCGUUGCGGAGUUGGAAGGUUUGUUGCUUGGUUUCGCCUGUUGGGGAAGAGAGAAUCUGCGUCGCGGUUGGUUGUGGUGAAUUUAGAAGAGCAAAUCGUGGCGGCGGCGAUGUCGGUGAACAGAGGUGGAUUCCCCUAAGUGUGAAGGAGUUCGGUUAUUGACACGACGGUGAGGUCUGGAAUUUAGCGCCGGAAUAUAUGAGGAAGACGGCGGAUGGUUCAAAGUUGACGGUGGUUGAGCGAUGAUGCGGCGAUGUAGUGGUGGCGAUUCACGGCGGUUAUUCUAGGUUGUUUCGGCGGAAGCGAAAAUGAGGUGUUAGUGUGGUGAAAGGGUGGAAGACGAUGGAGUAUUUGAAGAAGAGGAAUGGUGAUGGUUAAGGGUGAGACGCUCAGGGAAAGACCCAAAGGCUUCUUCUCUUUUUCCAUUUUUAAUCCUUUUCUUUAUUCUUUGAGAGAGAGAGUAAGUUAAUGUAUGUUGGUCCCUUUGUGAAGUCAGUAGAGAGAGUAAAAUAUAACAAUCUCCAACGGACAAAACCUUAUUCUUUUCUUUUUUUUAUUUUCGCUAGGAGAGACUGAUGGAGUGGGUAGAUAGGUGGCGUGUAGAGUGAGGGAAACGUGAGGUGAGAGAGAAAAGACAGAGUGGGAAGUGUGAAUACCAGCUGUAACAAAAUAGGAAUCCAAUGCUAAUUUCAUUUUAUUUUUUAAAACAACUACUAAUGUAGAGUGAGGGAAACGUGAGGUGAGAGAGAAAAGACAGAGUGGGAAGUGUGAAUACCAGCUGUAACAAAAUAGGAAUCCAAUGCUAAUUUCAUUUUAUUUUUUAAAACAACUACUAUUAUUUAAAGUUUCCUAUUAAAAAUUUAUAAUAAGUAUUUUGAUUUGAAUAAAUUUUAAUUACUUUAGUUGAAUAAUUAACUUUAAAAAAAUGAUCGAUUAUAAAUAAAAGUCGGAUAUAAAUUUGCUCGAAAAAUUAAAUCGGGCACACUAAAAUGAUAUGCACAAAAUAUACUUAUUGAAAAAAUACAGUGUUUCUUUAAAUUUUGAAAUAAAUUUUCAUCGAUUAAAAGGCUCAGGCGGGUCAAAACGCAACUGAAACAGCUGCUGAAAAAUACAACGAGCACACUAGGUUAAACUAAAUGAACCGUAGAUUAAUAAUACUGACGUCUACAAUUUUAAUUUUGAAACUUUUUACCCGCUAAUUUUGCACGUACUUGAGAAAUGAUUUAACCAAAUUGUCUGUAUUUUCAAGAAUUUAUUCCGACUGAUAUUUUAGAUAUUAUUAAUGAUGAAAUGCAUGUUAUGUUGUACAACUGAUGCAAAUUGAAAUAAAAAUCGAAUUUAUGAAAUUUUUAAAAUGCCCGGACAAAAUUGGGGUAUGUCAGCUGCCCCUAUUUCAUUAUCUUGAACUAGAAGGUAAGAAUGACAACAGUAUUCAUACAUUCGUAGUGGAAGGUAAUUAAAUACAAAAAGACCCAAAUUUUGUCCGUUGAAAUGCAAGGAAGAAAUGCAGAAACAAAAUGCAGUGAGAAAUACAAUAAGAAAAAGUUAUCAAAAAGGUAAAAUGAAACAGUCGAGACUCUAUGGGAAUCGUCAGAACAGUAUCUUGGAUGUCAUAAUCGAGAUAUUCCGGUAAUGGAAUGAUACCUCAACUGCAUCUAAGACUUUCUGGCAAAUCAGCAGAACAUCGUCUUGAUUUGAACGCACGAGAUUCUUUGAGGAUCAACGAAGCAGUACCUUACAUGAUAAAAUUAAGAUAUUCCAGACAAAAGGAAAGAUACCUUAAUUAAAUCUAAGACUCUUCGAGGAUACCUAGAGCAGUAUCUCUAAAAAAAAUCUAAAAUGAGACUCUUCAUAUUGAUGAAGCAGCAUCUCAAACAGUAAAAGUGAGAUUCUCUGUAUCGGGUCGAAGCAGCAUCUUAUAUGAUAGAAUUAAGAUGUUCUAGCAAGGGAAAAAAUACCUUAAUUGAAUCUAAGACUCUCCGAGGAUAUUAGAGCAGUAUCUCUAAAAAAAUCUGAAAUGAGACUCUUCAUAUUGAUGAAGCAUUAUCUCAAACAGUAAAAAUGAGAUUCUCUGUAUCGGGUCGAAGCAACAUCUUAUAUGAUAGAAUUAAGAUGUUCCAGCAAGGGAAAAAUACCUUAAUUGAAUCUAAGACUCUCCGAGGAUAUUAGAGCAGUAUCUCUAAAAAAAUCUGAAAUGAGACUCUUCAUAUUGAUGAAGCAGCAUCUCAAACAGUAAAAAUGAGAUUCUCUGUAUCGGGUCAAAGCAGCAUCUUAUAUGAUAGAAUUAAGAUGUUCCAGCAAGGGAAAAAUACCUUAAUUGAAUCUAAGACUCUCUGAGGAUACUUAGAGCAGUAUCUCUAGAAAACAAAUUAGAUUCUUCAAAUUGAUGAAGCAAUAUCUCAAACAGUAAAAAUGAGAUUCUCUAUAUCGAGUCGAAACAACAUCUUAUAUGAUAGAAUUAAGAUAUUCCAGCAAGGGAAAAAAAUACCUUAAUUGAAUCUAAGACUCUCCGAGGAUACUUAGAGCAGUAUCUCUAAAAAAAUUUGAAAUGAGACUCUUCAUAUUGAUGAAGCAGCAUCUCAAACAGUAAGAAUGAGAUUCUCUGUAUCGGGUCGAAGCAGCAUCUUAUAUGAUAGAAUUAAGAUGUUCCAGCAAGGAAAAAAUACCUUAAUUGAAUCUAAGACUCUCCGAGGAUACUUAGAGCAGUAUCUCUAAAAAAAUCUGAAAUGAGACUCUUCAUAUUGAUGAAGCAGCAUCUGAAAUAGUAAGAAUGAGAUUCUCCAGAUAAAUGAAGCAAUAUCUCGAAUAUUCGUCUGUUGGGGGAAAUUUUUAAGAAAAGACUCCUUUUGAGAGAGAUUUACUAGAAAUGCUCUGCAGGGGAAAAGCUCAUAAGAGACUUUUUAGGGUAACCUCUGCUUGGGGAGCAAUGAUUGUAAAGAAAAAUGCUGGAAUAUCAUUUUUAAUCAUAAAGUUGAACAAUGAUUUGCUGAGAAAUAAUUCCACGAGCACAUGCAGGAUAAUAACUUUAUAGAAUUUAAAUGAAAAGUGUCCGGGAUACAUAUGAAUGGCCAUGGAUCCUGAUAUUUUGGUGUGAUCUGUGUACGAUGUUCCCCUUCGGGUGGGAAUACCAUGCAUGGGAUGAUGCAUGAGAUGCAUGCAAGUAUGCAAUUGUUGGGGAUAUUUGGUUGUGCAUGUAGGAAUGCAAAUGCUUUUUAUUUUGUUGAAAUUCCCAUUUUGUGGGAGUGUUAUGCAUGAGUAUGUUGAUGAUUGAUAUGAUUGUGCUUUUUUGAAUUUUCUAUUUGGUAGGAAAACCAUGUAUGGAUGAUUCGUGUGAUGCAUGUGGGAAUGCAACUGGGUAAUUGGAUGUUUUUAUAGGGUUUAAUUCUUGACUGCCAAUGAGGUUGGACUUUAUAUGGGAACUGCCAGAUGAGGACAGAACUUGAAGGAUAUGUUAUCAGACGAGAGCUGGAGAAAAUAAUUGAAAUGUCAGACGGGACUGAAUUUGUUUUUGUUUAUCAGACAGGAACUGAUUUUUAAAGUAGGCUACCAGACGAGAACUGGUGAAAAUAAUUGACUACUAGACGAGAACUAGUAUCAAAAUAGGUGACCUACCAGACGAGAACUGGUAUUAAGAGAUAAUUUACCAGACGAGAACUGGUAUUUGGCAAAUGAUUUGUCGUAUAAGAACUGAUUUUUGAUAUAGUUUGCCAAACGGGAACUGGACUUUGGAAUAAGUUGCCAGACGAGAACUGGACUUUGAAAUAAAUUGCCAGACGGGAACUAGGCUUUGAAAUAAAUUGCCAAACGGGAAUUGGGCUUUGAAAUAAAUUGCCAGGCGGGAACUGGUUUUUUUGAGGAAGGUUUGCCAGACGGGAAUUGGGCUUUUGAAAUAAGUUGCCAGACGGGAACUGGGCUUUGAAAUGAAUUGCCAGACGAGAAUUGGACUUUGAAAUAAAUUGCCAGACGAGAACUGGACUUUGAAAUGGCCAAGCGAUGUUGGGCUUUGGUGUCAGAUUUUGUGUUUCAAGGCUUUUUGAUGACAGGUUCAUGUUAUGGUAUUAGGCCCGAUGAAUGUUAUGAUAUGCAUGGUUUUAUCUUAGAGCAAAGUGGCAUGACUAAUGCAUGAUAAUGAUUUAUGUAAUGAUUUGCAGGUUUUCAAAAUGCCCAUGCGUGGGUAUUGGAAGAGAAGGUUCUUUGCAGAAAGGCUUCUGUCUGUCAAAAGGUUAUUUUAUGGGGUGGUAGCAUGAUUCCCCGACACUCAUCUUGGAUUAUGCAUUUGCUGACUUGCAAAAAAACUUUUGCUUGAACUUCUUGAAAACAUGGAGAGGACUUGCUCCUGUGUGCCUCAAUCUUGCCCCAAUGUGAUGGGUCUAUGCAAAAUGUUUAUCUCGAAAGGAUUUUGAAAGCAAUUGUACCAUAAUUUGGAGAUGGAUUGCCCCAGAAUUUUGAUCCAUGAAAGGAUUUAUCCUUGGUUAACCGACUCUUGGAGUGGUUGACUUUUCUAUCCUCUUGAGGUAGUUUGCCCCAGUAUGAGCGUUGAAGCGAAUUAACUCACCCUAUCUGAACAUUGAAGGGGUUUGCCCCUGGCCAACAGAACCUCUAGGUGAUAUGCCCCUAGUUAAUAGAGUCCUGAGAUGAUUUGCUAUAGAUCAACUGAUCCUUGAAAUGACUUGCCCCUGAUUAAUAGAUGUUUGGAGAUUGUUUAAGACUGACCAAUUCUUGGAGUAAUCUUCCUAUGAUCAACUGAUGUUUAGGUGGCAUGCACCUGAUUCGUGGGUUAUGAGGUAGUCUUGAUUCGGGUUAGCACUAACAAAUGUCCAAGUUCCUCUAAUUGCUUCCUUAUUGUUGGAACUUUCGCCUGACGUCAAGUACUGACUUGCAGUUAAAAUUGCUUGUUCAGAAAUGGUAAUUUUAAUGCGAUACUCAUGCAAGUUUUGAAAAGAAUUUAUUUGAAUGAUGUGAUAAUGUGUGACGAGUGGACCCUGGGUCCAAAUCUAAUGCUGAUUUAGCAAUUUAAAGUGUGAAAGACACAGCGAGAAUAAUGACAUUGAUGUUGAAUAUUAGCAAAUCCUUAGGAGUCAGUUUACGCAACUUUGUUGUAAUAUGCUUUCGGAAAUAACCCUACCUCAAUUAGGUCUUUUGAGGGUUGUAACAUGGCUUGGUUCAUGGUUUUUGAAACAAAGGAUGUAAGGCUCAAAUUUUGUUUUAACCCACCCAUUCUUCAUGAUGAACUCCAAUCCUACGCUCAGUUAAUUCAACAUACACAUUCAACUUUUAAGAGAGUUUGCAGGUGUAAGAUCUCUUGAAAUGACAGUCACUUAUUUCGCUCUUUGUGGAUGUUGGUGACCUUUUGAUUUGGAUAUGGUGGUCAUUAAAUCUUAUUUUGUUUUGUUGAGGGCUUUCGUGACCUCCUUUGAUUUUUUUUUUGAUCCCUAACUUUUGCAUGGACCGCUUUUUGAAGCUUUAGUCCAUCGAGAUUGCCCCUAUUUUUUACCUAAGUCGUAUCUUUGUGUGUUCGACUUAGCGGGCUUUUUUAUUUAUUUUAUUUUUUAGAAUUGUGACUGCCAAGUCAUUGGUCAUUUGAAGAACAAUCCAACAUAACCUUUGGAUUUUUCAAGGUUCCUUAGAUGCUUCGGGAUGUGUGCAAAUAAUAUCAUGUGGUUGAUCUACAGACGGGAUGCUUCGUCUUGUAAUUUGAAUGUGUAGUCAGAUUAACUGAACACUACCCUACCCCAGGUUUAAUGUAAGGUUUUUCAGAUCCGAAAGAAACUCCUACUUCUAGGCUCGAAGUGGUUGACCAGGGAUUAACUCCUUAUCCUUCCAGUGUUUGGGAAUUUGAAACAAUGCUUGUACAUCAUCAGCAUGAUUUUAUCUGAAAGUAUAUAGUCAACAAUUAUGGGUAACUUGUUUUCAUCAUCCUCCCUCAAAUCUCUGCUAAAACAAAGGUUAUGAUAAAGAAAAGCGAAUGGGUGAAACAUUGAUGUAUUUUUGUUUUUGAUAUAAGAGGAGAAAUAUGAGCGAAUGCGAGAUAAUUAAUUCAAAACAUGCAUCAUUACUUCAUCAAUAUUACCAUUAAAAACAACAAUGUUUAAACACAAGCAGCUUUUAACAACAAAGAAACUACAAAUGCAAAAAUAUAACAAAUCAGUCCAACGAUGCCAGUGUUGAGGAUUCUUCCUGUCUGAACUACCGGCAUUAGGAGAUACUCUAUGAAAUCUUUGAACUCAUUCUGACGAGAGGUUUACGUGCACCAACUGGCUUCCUUCUGAAAAGGAUAUGUACCUUUUGUCGAUCAAUUGUUGCACUUUAGCCUUGAAAGCAUUGUAGUCUUCAUGUGAUGCCCUAUUGUUCUGGCAUGAUAUCCACAUUGCACAUCAGGAUCAUAUCUAGUGGGUAGAGGUUGGGUAGGACCAUUUACUGGAGCUGGAAUAACAUCUCUACGACUGCAGUCUGUUGAAUGUUGUCCUCCCUCUUUUUUAAAGCUAAUCAAGCCUCCACAAGUUGGUCUAUCUGGUUUUUCAUCGAGUCAACAUCUCCUCUUAAUGCAAUGUGAUUUUGCUCCAAUGGAUCCAUGGUUUUUCAAGAGCUACUUUAAGUCUGAUAUAAGUGUCGAGAAAUCAACUGCAGGUUAUGGACGAAGGAUGGAUGAGUUUUUUUGUAUUUAUUUUUUGGUGAAAAAUGAUAUGCAAUGCAUGACGAUUGCAGACGCAAUGAUACGUAUAUGAGUGUAGUGACAUGUUUAGGAUCACAAGUUCAAGGUGUUCUCAGAUGGAUCAGAAUAACGGGUAAAUAACGGGUAUCUCUGAUUAAUGGAAACCCCAUGGGUAGGCUCUACAGUUGGUAGGUUCCUACAGUCACGGAUAUUUCUUGAGAACGUCACUGAUGUGACGAAGACUCGUCGGACAAUAAUAUCCUUAAGAUGAUCUCGUCUAGGUGAGGUCUUCGUAUUGUCCCAACAAGGAAAAGUCCAUGGGGAUUCUACUACACAACUCUCGAGUCCAAGGUUCUAACAAGGUUCUAAGAGUCAUAGAUCGAGGUUGGAAAUAUUACUGUAAGAUAGUAAUACGUCCAAGGGAUCUCAUCUGAUUGGGGCUUUCGUAUUAACCCAACAAGUCUGAAACUUCGUAGGUUAAUACUACAUAACCGCAUAUUACUGUAAGAUAGUAAUACGUCCAAGGGAUCUCAUCUGAUUGGGGCUUUCGUAUUAACCCAACAAGUCUGAAACUUCGUAGGUUAAUACUACAUAACCGCCAGAUAUAGUGGGUUAAAAGGUCCUUAGAGUCAUUGAUCCAACUUGAGAAUACUAUCGUCGUGACGAAGACUCGUCGGGAAAUAAUAUCUCAAGAGAAUCUCCUCUAGGUGGGGUCUUCGUAUCUUCCCAACAAGGAAGACUCCUUGUGGGCGUCCACUACGCAACCACCAUCUUAAACUUAUGGUUUUUCUCAGACUCGGGUGGGGAGCCUAUCUCAUAAAGUAUCACCAACCAGAGAGCCCCAAAUAAGACAUAGUCAAUAAAUCACAAUACAAUAAUUACAAUAGAAUAAUAAUAACAGAAUAAAAAUAACAGACAAACAAACAAGAUUAACACACAAUACAAAAACUGAACUAAAUUAGGCUUCACUCUCUUUUGCUUGGAGCUUGUCCCCAGCAGAGUCGCCAUUUGUCGUAUCUCGAAAAAUACAAUUCCUCGCGAUGGUCGCGGAAAAAAUCAUGUUCAAACAGAGUCGCCACCGAACUUUAUUUAUCCCAAUGAAGGGAUAGGAAAAUAUCGAUAAAACCUUUAGGAAAUGGAAUAAUGGUCAUCGCAACCAUAUUCGGGUUCGGGAGUGGAUUACGUAAGGGGAAGGUAUUAGCACCCCUUACAUCCGUUGUACUCAACGGGAACCUUUAGUUUCUAAUGUGCGUUUCGUGUGUUAAUUAUUUUGUUUGUUAUCUUUGGGUUAAUAAAUGUUGAAAUAGAAAAGGAUGGAACCUCAUAAAGGAGAAAGGGGAGGUUUUUUUAUUAGUGUGCUCACGAAGAUACAACAAUCUCCUGCCUACGUAUCCUUAUGGUGCAAUAAGGAAAUCAGAGCAUUCGUAGUUCGGGGAACUACGGUUGGUUGGUGUCUUUUAGUGAACAACUGUUUUAAAUCGCGUUGUAAAGGCUAACGCUGGCUUGUCUUCUCUCGGUGGAGGCUUAAGCAUUGGUUGUUGUGCGCAAUAGAAAGGAUUAAACAAGUUCUUUCUAAAAAGAGGUUUUGGUCACACGGGGGUGACGAGUUGAAUUAAUAUGUUGGGUGUUUUGAUUGGCUGAGAUGUUUUUGGUUGGAUGACGAUUACUCGGAUAGCCGAGUAAGACAACUCGUAUCCUAACAGUCGGGAAAGGGAAUAAAAGACUUUAGACCACUUUCUUUUUCAUCCUUAAUUGUGAAAGGAUCUUAAUGAUGAUUAAGGUAUUUUAAAUGGAUGACGAAUACUCAGAUAAUCAAGUAAGACAACUCGUAUCCUAAUAAUCGGGAAAGGGAAUAGAAGACUCUAGACCGUUUUCUUUUUCAUCUGAGUGAUUAUGAAAAUAGGUUUGUGUAUGAUUGAUAUAUUUUAGAAUGAACGACAAGUACUUGAAUGACUGAGUAAGACAACUCAUAUCCAAGCAUUUGAGAAAGGGAAUUGAAAACUCAAGACCAUCUCUCUUUUCGUACAGUUUUGAUUGAUUUAUUGAUUUGCGGAAAAAUGACAAUUGUUCGACUAACCGAGUAAGAGAACUCAUAUUCAAACAGAUGAGGAGAGAAGUUGAAAACUCAAAGUCAUCUCCCUUUUCAUUUAACUUAUUAUGAAAAUAAUUUGAUUUAAUCGGGUUUAGAAGUUUGUAACGAAAUGACGAGUGUUUAACUGACCGAGUAAGAAAACUCGUAUUCAAACAAUUGAGGAGAGAAGUUGAAGACUCAAAGUCAUCUCCUUUUUCAUUUCAUUAUUAUAAAAGUGUUUUGAUUUAAUCGGGGUUUGUGCUUAAGUGGAUUAGAGAUGACAAUCAUUCGAUUAACCGAGUAAAAGAAUUCGUAAACAAUCGAGGAGAGGAGUUGAAAACUCAAAAUCAUCUCCUUUUUCGUAUGGUUUGAAAAUGAUUAGGAAUUUGCUAUAGUGAUCAAUCUUUAAUUAACAAAAAAUAUUAAUUAAAAUUUAACUAAACCACUUAAUUAAUAUAAUCAAAAUUAAUCAUCAAAAUUAUUUGAUUAAAUCAAAUAUUCAAGGUAAUUAAAACUAAUUAUUAAAAUUAACUAAUUUAAAUGAAUUUUAAUUAACUGAUAUAUAUACCUAGAACAAAGUUGACUUGAAUAAUUGAAGCGACUUAACGCACAAUGUGCUCAAAGUCGGUUCGUACAUAGCGACAAUGGUAUUGAAAUGUCGUACGUAAUGGACCGGAACGCGGCAAAAUCGUAUCGAUUUAUCAAAAGAAAAUCUGACAUCAUUACAACAUAUAUAAAUGUUGAAUCGAUGGAUUAAAAUUCGAUUUCUUAAGAAAAGUUUUGAUUAAAAAUAACUUAAAUGUAUUUUAGACAUAAAACUAGCCCUUAAGUUCAAAACAUUAAGAUUAAAAUUCGAUUUCUUAAGAAAAGUUUUGAUUAAAAAUAACUUAAAUGUAUUUUAGACAUAAAACUAGCCCUUAAGUUCAAAACAUUACAAAAAGAGUUACCUAAAUCGAUAAGAAACAAACCAUAAUUUAUAGAUUAAAUUAACCUAUUACUUAAACCUAUAGAAAAACACCCAAUAAAUAAAUAGAGGAUAAAAAAGCUAAACUUAGAAAAACUUAAUGAUUUCUAACUUUUAAUUAUUAUUUUACAAAGCAAAAUUUCUUACUUGAAUGAAAAUGAUAAUUAAGAAUUAAAAAGAACAAGAGAAAAGUCAAUCAUUUAUUUUCCAUCACCACACUAUUAAUGCUACAAAAUAUCAUGAUCCAUAUUCACACUACCAGUACUAUGAUAAAUUAUAUAAAACACAAAUUUACACCAUCCAUAUCAGUGCAUAAAACUCACAGUAUUGGUAUCAGUAUCCAUCAUGACAAGAAAUCUAAAUACAAGACUCACACAAUCCAUAUCAAUAGUCAUUAUGCAAAAAAAAUUAGACACAAAACUCACACUAUCAGCAGGCAAAUCUCUAACAGAUCCAAGAGGAAAAAUCCGGAAAUAAAAGAGAGCUUCGUCAUCCUUCACCAAUCAAAUUCAUAAACAAAAGUAUAUAUCCUCCAUUAACAAAAUGUUUCACGGGAUCGAAUCUACAACAACAAGACAUACAAACAC
RNAcentral lists this long non-coding RNA (11703 nucleotides) under Lathyrus oleraceus (garden pea). RNAcentral describes it as "Pisum sativum (pea) long non-coding RNA (PSAT_LNC011128)". Lineage: Eukaryota; Viridiplantae; Streptophyta; Magnoliopsida; Fabales; Fabaceae. The record is from RNAcentral.